RNAcentral lists this ribosomal RNA (497 nucleotides) under uncultured bacterium. RNAcentral describes it as "partial 16S ribosomal RNA". It matches the Rfam family "Bacterial small subunit ribosomal RNA", at positions 28 to 507 of the family's 1533-position model. The record is from RNAcentral.
GAUGAACGCUGGCGGCGUGCCUAAUACAUGCAAGUCGAGCGAACGGACGAGAAGCUUGCUUCUCUGAUGUUAGCGGCGGACGGGUGAGUAACACGUGGAUAACCUACCUAUAAGACUGGGAUAACUUCGGGAAACCGGAGCUAAUACCGGAUAAUAUUUUGAACCGCAUGGUUCAAAAGUGAAAGACGGUCUUGCUGUCACUUAUAGAUGGAUCCGCGCUGCAUUAGCUAGUUGGUAAGGUAACGGCUUAUCAAGGCAACGAUGCAUAGCCGACCUGAGAGGGUGAUCGGCCACACUGGAGCUGAGACACGGUCCAGACUCCUACGGGAGGCAGCAGUAGGGAAUCUUCCGCAAUGGGCGAAAGCCUGACGGAGCAACGCCGCGUGAGUGAUGAAGGUCUUCGGAUCGUAAAACUCUGUUAUUAGGGAAGAACAUAUGUGUAAGUAACUGUGCACAUCUUGACGGUACCUAAUCAGAAAGCCACGGCUAACUACGUG